GACGAACGCUGGCGGCGUGCUUAACACAUGCAAGUCGAACGGUGAACCUCUUCGGAGGGGCUCAGUGGCGAACGGGUGAGUAACACGUGGGCAACCUGCCCCCGGCUCUGGGAUAACUCCAAGAAAUUGGGGCUAAUACCGUAUGUUCACCGCUUCCCGCAUGGGUGGUGGUGAAAAGGGUUUCCGGCUGGGGAUGGUCGCGCGGCCUAUCAGCUUGUUUGUGGGGUAGUGGCCUACCAAGGCGACGACGGGUAGCCGGCCUGAGAGGGUGACCGGGCACACUGGGACUGAGAGACGGCACAGACUCCAACGGGAGGCAGGAGUGGGGAAUAUUGCGCAAUGGGCGGAAGCCUGACGCAGAGACGCCGCGUGGGGGAUGACGGCCUUCGGGUUGUAAACCUCUUUCAGCAGGGACGAAGCGAAAGUGACGGUACCUGCAGAAGAAGCACCGGCCAACUACGUG
Molecule: ribosomal RNA, 463 nt
Filed under: uncultured bacterium
Lineage: Bacteria
Description: partial 16S ribosomal RNA
Rfam family: Bacterial small subunit ribosomal RNA
Source: RNAcentral